This 100-nucleotide unclassified non-coding RNA is filed under the name Trailliaedoxa gracilis. Its description in RNAcentral is "partial external transcribed spacer". Lineage: Eukaryota; Viridiplantae; Streptophyta; Magnoliopsida; Gentianales; Rubiaceae. The record is from RNAcentral.
UGCGGCGUGAGGCGUCCCGCGCCUAUCCGCCGGUUCCAAACGUUGGUUUCGAACGACCGUCGGCGCCGGCUCGUCAGGCGUCGACGUCCGUGAGGAAUGC